GACGAACGCUGGCGGCGUGCUUAACACAUGCAAGUCGAGCGGAGCGGCGAACGGGUGAGUAACGCGUGAGUAACUGCCCCCCUCUCUGGGAUAACAGUUGGAAACGAUAGCUAAUACCGCAUACUAGUAGAUGACCUGCGUUGUAUUAGCUAGUAGGUAGGGUAAUGGCCUACCUAGGCAACGAUACAUAGCCGACCUGAGAGGGUGAUCGGCCACACUGGGCUGAGUUACGGCCCAAACUCCUACGGGAGGCAGCAGUGGGGAAUAUUGCACAAUGGGGGAAACCCUGAUGCAGCAACGCCGCGUGCGGGAUGACGGCCUUCGGGUUGUAAACCGCUUUCAGCCAUGACGCGGUAGUGGAAGAAGAAGCACCGGCUAACUACGUGCCAGCAGCCGCGGUAAUAC
This 405-nucleotide ribosomal RNA is filed under the name uncultured bacterium. Its description in RNAcentral is "partial 16S ribosomal RNA". It matches the Rfam family "Bacterial small subunit ribosomal RNA", at positions 28 to 526 of the family's 1533-position model. The record is from RNAcentral.